AUACGGAGGAUGCGAGCGUUAUCCGGAUUUAUUGGGUUUAAAGGGUGCGCAGGCGGGCGAUUAAGUCAGCGGUGUAAGGCUCGGGCUCAACCGGAGCAGUGCCGUUGAUACUGGUUGUCUUGAAUGCGGUCAAGGCCGGCGGAAUGUGGCGUGUAGCGGUGAAAUGCAUAGAUAUGCCACAGAACACCGAUAGCGAAGGCGGCUGGCCGGGCCUGCAUUGACGCUGAGGCACGAAAGCGUGGGGAUCGAACAGGAUUAGAUACCCUGGUAGUCCACGCUGUAAACGAUGGACACUCGUUGUCGGCGACAGACAGUCGGCGGCCAAGCGAAAGUGAUAAGUGUCCCACCUGGGGAGUACGGUCGCAAGGCUGAAACUCAAAUGAAUUGACGGGG
Molecule: ribosomal RNA, 393 nt
Filed under: uncultured bacterium
Lineage: Bacteria
Description: partial 16S ribosomal RNA
Rfam family: Bacterial small subunit ribosomal RNA
Source: RNAcentral